CACUCCUACGGGAGGCAGCAGUGGGGAAUAUUGGACAAUGGGCGCAAGCCUGAUCCAGCCAUGCCGCGUGAGUGAUGAAGGCCCUAGGGUUGUAAAGCUCUUUCACCGGAGAAGAUAAUGACGGUAUCCGGAGAAGAAGCCCCGGCUAACUUCGUGCCAGCAGCCGCGGUAAUACGAAGGGGGCUAGCGUUGUUCGGAAUUACUGGGCGUAAAGCGCACGUAGGCGGAUCGAUCAGUCAGGGGUGAAAUCCCAGGGCUCAACCCUGGAACUGCCUUUGAUACUGUCGAUCUGGAGUAUGGAAGAGGUGAGUGGAAUUCCGAGUGUAGAGGUGAAAUUCGUAGAUAUUCGGAGGAACACCAGUGGCGAAGGCGGCUCACUGGUCCAUUACUGACGCUGAGGUGCGAAAGCGUGGGGAGCAAACAGGAUUAGAAACCCCUGUAGUCCCAUGA
RNAcentral lists this ribosomal RNA (450 nucleotides) under uncultured organism. RNAcentral's name for it is "partial 16S ribosomal RNA". It matches the Rfam family "Bacterial small subunit ribosomal RNA", at positions 334 to 800 of the family's 1533-position model. The record is from RNAcentral.